CCUACGGGAGGCAGCAGUGGGGAAUAUUGGGCAAUGGGCGCAAGCCUGACCCAGCAACGCCGCGUGAAGGAAGAAGGCUUUCGGGUUGUAAACUUCUUUUGUCAGGGACGAAGCCAGUGACGGUACCUGACGAAUCAGCCACGGCUAACUACGUGCCAGCAGCCGCGGUAAUACGUAGGUGGCAAGCGUUAUCCGGAUUUACUGGGUGUAAAGGGCGUGUAGGCGGGACUGCAAGUCAGAUGUGAAAACCACGGGCGCAACCUGUGGCCUGCAUCUGAAACUGUAGUUCUUGAGUACUGGAGAGGCAGACGGAAUGCCUAGUGUAGCGGUGAAAUGCGUAGAUAUUAGGAGGAACACCAGUGGCGAAGGCGGUCUGCUGGACAGCAACUGACGCUGAGGCGCGAAAGCGUGGGGAGCAAACAGGAUUAGAUACCCUAGUAGUC
RNAcentral lists this ribosomal RNA (443 nucleotides) under uncultured bacterium. RNAcentral describes it as "partial 16S ribosomal RNA". It matches the Rfam family "Bacterial small subunit ribosomal RNA", at positions 338 to 795 of the family's 1533-position model. The record is from RNAcentral.